AACGACGGACUGAGGGCAAAUGAAAUUAAACCAGUUGGGUGAAUUAGCUCAGCAAGGGACGGUUCACAGGAGGGUCUUUAUCUACUCUUUCCACAGACUGUGUGUGCAUAAUUGCAGGUUUUUCUGGGGGUUUUUUUGAGGUUGUACUGCCAACUGUCUUUCUCAGUCUGGGUCACUGUUGCUUGGGAUGAAAGAGAUUCUGGCUGGCUUUCACAUAUUAGAAGCUCUACAAACAAG
This is a long non-coding RNA of Empidonax traillii (willow flycatcher), 237 nucleotides long. RefSeq lists it as uncharacterized. The transcript is spliced from 3 exons. The record is from RefSeq and is a predicted model, not a curated record. NCBI's taxonomy places the organism in Eukaryota, Metazoa, Chordata, Aves, Passeriformes, Tyrannidae.